AGCCUUCAUAGCCAGCAUGACUUGGGGCAUACGCUGUCUCCCAAAGACUUGGGGUAAUCCCAGCAGCUCAUUAUUUCUAAUUACUCUAUAUCUAAAAGUAAUGCUGAGCUCACUGCACAAACCAGCCAAAGGAGGGAGGGUUUGUGGGGUGCUGUUUGCCUACACAGCACUGGGAAGAGAUUUUUUUGGAAGCUCAGUGUGGAGCUAUGAAGUACUGUGUAAACCCCUCAAUCUAUCCCCAAGGAGCUUCAAGUGAAACAGAAAAGUA
This 268-nucleotide long non-coding RNA is filed under the name Chinchilla lanigera (long-tailed chinchilla). RNAcentral describes it as "lncRNA (ENSCLAG00000023759.1)". Lineage: Eukaryota; Metazoa; Chordata; Mammalia; Rodentia; Chinchillidae. The record is from RNAcentral.